GACGAACGCUGGCGGCAUGCCUAACACAUGCAAGUCGAACGAGACCUUCGGGUCUAGUGGCGCACGGGUGCGUAACGCGUGGGAACCUUCCCUUAGGUUCAGAAUAACUCCCCGAAAGGGGUACUAAUAGCGGAUAAUGUCUACGGCCCAAAGACUUAUCGCCUUUGGCUGGGCCCGCGUUGGAUUAGCUAGUUGGUAGGGUAAAAGCAUACCAAGGCGACGAUGCAGAGCUGGUCUGAGAGGAUGAUCAGCCAGGCCGGGACUGAGACACGGACCAGACUGGGACGCGAGGGAGCAGUAGGGUAUAUUGGACGAGGGGCGAUAGCGCAGUACAGCAGCGCGGGGUGAGUCGGGAAGGCCUUAGGGUUGCAAAGCUCUUUUAGAAGGGACGAUAAUGACGGUACCGGGAGAAAAAGCUCCGGCUAACUACGUG
This 433-nucleotide ribosomal RNA is filed under the name uncultured bacterium. RNAcentral's name for it is "partial 16S ribosomal RNA". It matches the Rfam family "Bacterial small subunit ribosomal RNA", at positions 28 to 507 of the family's 1533-position model. The record is from RNAcentral.